RNAcentral lists this unclassified non-coding RNA (1486 nucleotides) under Megachile rotundata (alfalfa leafcutting bee). Its description in RNAcentral is "translation initiation factor eIF-2B subunit alpha, transcript variant X3". The record is from RNAcentral. Lineage: Eukaryota; Metazoa; Arthropoda; Insecta; Hymenoptera; Megachilidae.
UUAAAUGACAUUUUUGUAAUCUUUCUACUAUUACAAAUUGUUUUGUACAAAAAAUUUAUUAAGUAGUUGUACUUAUACACUGUAUAUUAUAUUUACGUAUAGUAUUUAAGACUAUUAAAUAAAAUUAACACUAACCUAAAGUUAUUGACUAAUAACAAAUACUGAGUUAAUUUAUUGUUAAAUAAAUAUUCUGUUGACAUUGCAAAAAUAGACACAAGAAUUAUGGAGAAAGAAGAAAUUUGUCUGUAUUUCAAUAACAUUAUUAGAGAUGAAAAACAUGUAUCUGCCGGAAUGGCUGCUAUUCGUACAUUGCUUAAGGUUCUGGAAUGCUCAAAAUCAGAAACAGUUCAAGAGCUUAGGUAUUGUCUACAAAAUGCAAUAGAUGCAAUGAGAUCUACAGAAAAUCCUGUAACUGCUAUUGCAUCAGGCAGCGAAUUAUUUCUUCGUUUUAUAACUUUGGCCACAUUAGAUACACCAUCAUUUGCAGAAUGUAGAGGGAUUAUGCUUCAUAGAGGAAAGAUGUUCUAUGAGAAGUUAGUAGCUGCAAGAGGGAAGGUUGCAAAAGUAGCAGCACAUUUCAUUAAGGAUGGUUCUAAAAUACUUACUCACUCAAAAUCUAGAGUUGUAUUACAAGCAAUGAAAGAAGCUGCUGCAAGUAACAAAAUAUUUGAAGUAUAUGUUACUUCUUCCUCACCAGAUAAUAGUGGAGAAGAAAUGUACCAGAAUUUAACUAACUUGGGUGUAUCCUGCACCUUAAUAUUAGACUCUGCAAUGGGGUAUGUAAUGGAACAGGUUGAUAUGGUAAUGGUUGGAGCAGAGGGUGUUGCAGAAAGUGGUGGUGUUAUUAAUAAGGUUGGCACAUAUACAAUGGCUAUGUGUGCAAAAGAAGUGAAGAAACCUUUUUAUGUAUUAACUGAAAGUUUCAAGUUCUCACGAAUAUAUCCGUUAAAUCAAGUCGACCUGCCAGACGAAUUCAAGUACACGGCAAGCACGCUAAAAAAGAAUUUACAAAAAGAACAUCCGUUAGUUGAUUAUACGCCGCCUCAUUAUAUUAAUCUUCUGUUCACCGAUUUAGGCAUUUUGACACCUUCGGCUGUCAGUGAUGAACUUAUUAAAUUAUAUUUAUAAAAAACGUAUUUAUUAAUUGCAACUUUAUCCAUCUUAAUAGUUUUACUUUUUACUGUGGUACAUGUUACAUAUACAUUUGAACUUAAUAAAAGUAUGAACAGGAUAUAACGCACAAAAAUUGACGCGGAACCGCUUAUACUAAAGGAAAGUCGAACUUUACAAAACAUUUUAACACAAGGUUUAUUAAUUAAUUUUAAAAAUAAUAAUGAGUAUUGAACAAUGGUAACGCACAUAAAUUCUGUUUACAUUGCGAUUCAGUAUGUAUCCAGUUCUAUUCUAUAACACGACUUCAUUCAAGUGUUUCAUUCUUUUCUGUUCUUAAAUUCGUGUUAAUCAUAAAAUAAAUUUGCAUACCUCA